GAAGAAGAGGAAGAGGAAGAGGAGCGUUUCUUGACCGGUCCAGUCUGAGACCUGGUGGAUUGGCAAAUGGGGAAAAUUGGUAAGCUAGUGCUAGGGUUUGGGAUUGAGAUUGAAGUGGGAAAUAAACGAAACGGAUGUUUUUGAUGGUGAGAUUUGAAGGAGACUUUUUGGGGCUGAAAUGUGGAGAUGGAGAGAGCCAUUUUGGUUUUGAUAUUAUUUAUACUUCAGUUCACACACACCGCUUUCUGGAUGAUGUUUUCGUGCUCUCUUGCCCGCUUCUCUUUGAGGACGAAGAAAGACUGGAGAGUGAAAAGCUCUGCUGCUCGGCUGUUCCUGCUUCUAUAGCUCACCGUAACAAAAUUGGGAAAUUACAAAAAGGUACCGUGAAGUUCUACUCAUGAGGUUUGGCUCUUCGGCUUUGUGGUUC
This 427-nucleotide unclassified non-coding RNA is filed under the name Hevea brasiliensis (rubber tree). The record is from RNAcentral. Lineage: Eukaryota; Viridiplantae; Streptophyta; Magnoliopsida; Malpighiales; Euphorbiaceae.